GUGUUUGGAUAUCUGAUUUUGGAUGAGGUUUUUGGUAACGAGGAUGAAAUUCCGAUGAGAAGCGGAUGAUUAAUUGAUUUCAAUUUUUCUUUUUUCUUUUUUCAAAACACUUACCAAAAGAUGGAAGGAAAAAAAAGGAGGUAGUCUAUUUUCAUUUAAAAUUGAGAGAUGUUCAACCCUUUUUUCAAUUAAAAUGUACAUAUGAAACACCCUAAAUACCAUCUUCUUCCGCCUCUACACACCCAUCCAUCCAAAGCCAUAAUCCUUAUUUCUUCUCCAUUGUCUCUCGUUUUCUUCCUCUCUUUCCUUUCCUUCUCCUUCAUCUUCCUCCUAAUUUUUUUGUCAUAACACCG
This 353-nucleotide long non-coding RNA is filed under the name Vitis vinifera (wine grape). RNAcentral describes it as "long non-coding RNA (VVIN_LNC001993)". Lineage: Eukaryota; Viridiplantae; Streptophyta; Magnoliopsida; Vitales; Vitaceae. The record is from RNAcentral.